This 94-nucleotide transfer RNA is filed under the name Neomesorhizobium albiziae. RNAcentral's name for it is "Mesorhizobium albiziae tRNA-Val". The record is from RNAcentral. Lineage: Bacteria; Pseudomonadati; Pseudomonadota; Alphaproteobacteria; Hyphomicrobiales; Phyllobacteriaceae.
CGUCAAGAAGGGCGCUGCCGAGCGGAUGGCGGUGAACACCCGCCUGAUGGACCCGGCCGAUAUCGCCGGCGUUCGGGUUCGCCAUCUCGAUGGC